CCUACGUGAGGCAGCAGUAGGGAAUCUUCCACCAUGGGCGAAAGCCUGAUGGAGCAACGCCGCGUGGGUGAAGAAGGUCUUCGGAUCGUAAAACCCUGUUGUUAGAGAAGAAAGUGCGUGAGAGUAACUGUUCACGUUUCGACGGUAUCUAACCAGAAAGCCCCGGCUAACUACGUGCCAGCAGCCGCGGUAAUACGUAGGUGGCAAGCGUUAUCCGGAUUUAUUGGGCGUAAAGGGAACGCAGGCGGUUCUUUAAGUCUGAUGUGAAAGCCUUCGGCUUAACCGGAGUAGUGCAUUGGAAACUGGGAGACUUGAGGGCAGAAGAGGAGAGUGGAACUCCAUGUGUAGCGGUGAAAUGCGUAGAUAUAUGGAAGAACAGCAGUGGCGAAAGCGGCUCUCUGGUCUGUAACUGACGCUGAGGUUCGAAAGCGUGGGUAGCAAACAGGAUUAGAUACCCCAGUAGUC
This 465-nucleotide ribosomal RNA is filed under the name uncultured bacterium. RNAcentral's name for it is "partial 16S ribosomal RNA". It matches the Rfam family "Bacterial small subunit ribosomal RNA", at positions 338 to 795 of the family's 1533-position model. The record is from RNAcentral.